GUUUUCGUAGUGUAGUGGUUAUCACGUGUGCUUCACACGCACAAGGUCCCCGGUUCGAUCCCGGGCGAAAACA
Molecule: non-coding RNA, 73 nt
Organism: Lutzomyia longipalpis
Lineage: Eukaryota; Metazoa; Arthropoda; Insecta; Diptera; Psychodidae
Source: Rfam